UACGAAGGGGGCUAGCGUUGCUCGGAAUCACUGGGCGUAAAGGGUGCGUAGGCGGGUCUUUAACUCAGGGGUGAAAUCCUGGAGCUCAACUCCAGAACUGCCUUUGAUACUGAAGAUCUUGAGUUCGGGAGAGGUGAGUGGAACUGCGAGUGUAGAGGUGAAAUUCGUAGAUAUUCGCAAGAACACCAGUGGCGAAGGCGGCUCACUGGCCCGAUACUGACGCUGAGGCACGAAAGCGUGGGGAGCAAACAGG
This 253-nucleotide ribosomal RNA is filed under the name uncultured bacterium. RNAcentral's name for it is "partial 16S ribosomal RNA". It matches the Rfam family "Bacterial small subunit ribosomal RNA", at positions 524 to 776 of the family's 1533-position model. The record is from RNAcentral.